UCAAAAUGCAAAUUUGAAGAAGCACCCUAAAAGGUGCCGGGGCUUCUCCCGUUU
This 54-nucleotide transfer RNA is filed under the name Goniurosaurus luii. RNAcentral's name for it is "partial tRNA-Cys". The record is from RNAcentral. Lineage: Eukaryota; Metazoa; Chordata; Lepidosauria; Squamata; Eublepharidae.